AUGAAUUACACUGAGAGUCUUGUUUCUAUUGAGGGGAUGGUGAGUGUUGGAGAAGGAGCUGUCAAAGAAGAGAGACAGGAGGCAGCUCCACUCGCUGCAACUAAUAGGAAUGCUUCGAAUGCUAUGAUGUCAGACAAUAUGGACUGAGUCUCUCAAAAAAUUGUUGCCGUGUGUAAGUUGGUUUUUGGCUUUCUGUGAAAGUAAGGAAAGACAAUGACUUGGAGAAAUCUUGUUAUAUGCACAACAG
This is a long non-coding RNA of Daucus carota subsp. sativus, 247 nucleotides long. RefSeq lists it as uncharacterized. The record is from RefSeq and is a predicted model, not a curated record. The transcript has 3 exons. NCBI's taxonomy places the organism in Eukaryota, Viridiplantae, Streptophyta, Magnoliopsida, Apiales, Apiaceae.